Molecule: ribosomal RNA, 113 nt
Filed under: Acanthosepion pharaonis
Lineage: Eukaryota; Metazoa; Mollusca; Cephalopoda; Sepiida; Sepiidae
Source: RNAcentral
UUACAGCCAUAUCACGUUGAAACACCAGUUCUUGUACGACCACUGAAGUUAAGCAACGUCGAUCCUGGUCAGUACCUAGAUGGGUGACCGCUUGGAAAUAGCAGGAGCUGUAA